Molecule: long non-coding RNA, 262 nt
Filed under: Monodelphis domestica (gray short-tailed opossum)
Lineage: Eukaryota; Metazoa; Chordata; Mammalia; Didelphimorphia; Didelphidae
Description: lncRNA (ENSMODG00000049517.1)
Source: RNAcentral
AUGAAGCUUUUCUUCAGCUCUGACAGAGGACAUUUUAUUAAAAAGAAACUGAGUAUUUUAUUUAUCGUUGGUUUCUCUUCAUGGUUCACAGCUUGUAAUGAUUUGAGGCAACAAAGCAUCUAUUACAAGGACAUAUGCAUAGAGCACAUAUUGUGAAGAUUGGAUUUGGCUCUCCCAUGAUUGUAACAAUGAAGGAAGUAAGAAAAGUACAAGUCAGACUUCUCAGACUAUUAUUCAAUAGAGAACUCCCUUUGGAGAUAAG